This 353-nucleotide ribosomal RNA is filed under the name uncultured microorganism. RNAcentral's name for it is "bacterial SSU rRNA". It matches the Rfam family "Bacterial small subunit ribosomal RNA", at positions 9 to 365 of the family's 1533-position model. The record is from RNAcentral.
GAGUUUGAUCUUGGCUCAGGACGAACGCUGGCGGCGUGCCUAAUACAUGCAAGUCGAGCGAGGGUUUUUAAGACCCUAGCGGCGGACGGGUGAGUAACACGUAGGCAACCUGCCUCUCAGACCGGGAUAACAUAGGGAAACUUAUGCUAAUACCGGAUAGGUUUUUGGAUUGCAUGAUCCGAAAAGAAAAGAUGGCUUUUCGCUAUCACUGGGAGAUGGGCCUGCGGCGCAUUAGCUAGUUGGUGGGUAACGGCCUACAAGCGACGAUGCGUAGCCGACCUGAGAGGGUGACCGGCCACACUGGGACUGAGACACGGCCCAGACUCCUACGGGAGGCAGCAGUAGGGAAUUUU